AUUUAAGGUUUAAUCUGCCCACUGAGUAAUUUAAUGGCCGCAGUAAUUUGACUGUGCAAAGGUAGCAUAAUCAUUAGUUUUUUAAUUAAAAGCUUGAAUGAAUGAUUGGACGAAAUAAAGUCUGUCUUUAUAUUAAAUAUAGAACUUAAUUUUUAAGUAAAAAAGCUUAAAUAUUAGUAAAAGACGAGAAGACCCUAUAGAUCUUUAUACAAUAUAGUUUAUUUUUAAUUAAGAUUAUUUAAUGAAUUAGAUUUUAUUGUAUUUUAUUGGGGUAAUAAAAAGAUUAAUUAAAUUCUUUAUUUAUUUUACAAAAAUUCUUGAAUUAAUGAUCCUUUAUUAUGGAUUUAAGAUUAAGUUACCUUAGGGAUAACAGCGUAAUUUUUUUAGAGAGUUCUUAUCGAUAAAAAAGUUUGCGACCUCGAUGUUGGAUUAAAAAUUAAUUUUAGGUGUAGUAGUUUAAAAUUUUGGUCUGUUCGACCAUUGAAUUUUU
Molecule: ribosomal RNA, 490 nt
Filed under: Carabhydrus niger
Lineage: Eukaryota; Metazoa; Arthropoda; Insecta; Coleoptera; Dytiscidae
Description: partial 16S ribosomal RNA
Rfam family: Bacterial large subunit ribosomal RNA (bases 366-490)
Source: RNAcentral